RNAcentral lists this long non-coding RNA (242 nucleotides) under Solanum tuberosum (potato). RNAcentral describes it as "long non-coding RNA (STUB_LNC005845)". Lineage: Eukaryota; Viridiplantae; Streptophyta; Magnoliopsida; Solanales; Solanaceae. The record is from RNAcentral.
GAUUUGAGAGGUUUGAGGGACUUGAUGAGAUAUUUUUCCGGUGACGCAGAGCCGUUCUGACGAAGGGGAUGGGGGGAGCACGUGGGGGAGGUGAUGGAGAGGAUCUUGGGGCAGGAGAAGUCGUAGGUAGCAUAGGGUGGGCGGCCAUGGGUGACGGUGUAGCUAGCGCAGAGAGUAGCCUGAGGGAGAAGGUGGGGGAGUAGGUUGAUGGAGAAGACGUUCUGUCUGGGAAGAAGAACGUG